GACGAACGCUGGCGGCGUGCUUAACACAUGCAAGUCGAACGGAAAGGCCCUGCUUUUGUGGGGUGCUCGAGUGGCGAACGGGUGAGUAACACGUGAGUAACCUGCCCUUGACUUUGGGAUAACUUCAGGAAACUGGGGCUAAUACCGGAUAGGAGCUCCUGCUGCAUGGUGGGGGUUGGAAAGUUUCGGCGGUUGGGGAUGGACUCGCGGCUUAUCAGCUUGUUGGUGGGGUAGUGGCUUACAAAGGCUUUGACGGGUAGCCGGCCUGAGAGGGUGACCGGCCACAUGGGUACUGAGAGACGGCCCAGACUCCUACGGGAGGCAGCAGGGGGGAAUAUUGCACAAUGGGCGGAAGCCUGAUGCAGCAACGCCGCGUGCGGGAUGACGGCCUUCGGGUUGUAAACCGCUUUCGCCUGUGACGAAGCGUGAUUGACGGUAAUGGGUAAAGAAGCACCGGCUAACUACGUG
RNAcentral lists this ribosomal RNA (468 nucleotides) under uncultured bacterium. Its description in RNAcentral is "partial 16S ribosomal RNA". It matches the Rfam family "Bacterial small subunit ribosomal RNA", at positions 28 to 507 of the family's 1533-position model. The record is from RNAcentral.